AGAGUUUGAUCAUGGCUCAGAAUCAACGCUGGCGGCGUGCCUAACACAUGCAAGUCGAGCGAGAAAGGGGGGGCAACUCCCUGAGUAAAGCGGCGCACGGGUGAGUAACACGUGGGUAAUCUGCCCUGGAGUGGGGAAUAACACCGGGAAACCGGUGCUAAUACCGCAUACGAUAGCGAGGUCUGCGGAUCUUGCGAUGAAAGGAGCAAUUCGCUCCAGGAGGAGCCCGCGGCUGAUUAGCUAGUUGGUGAGGUAAUGGCUCACCAAGGCAACGAUCAGUAGCCGGUCUGAGAGGACGGUCGGCCACACUGGAACUGAGACACGGUCCAGACUCCUACGGGAGGCAGCAGUGGGGAAUUUUUGGCAAUGGGGGCAACCCUGACCAAGCAACGCCGCGUGGGUGAUGAAGUCUCUUGGGACGUAAAACCCUUUCGACGGGGAAGAAACCGCAAGGUUGACGGUACCCGUAGAAGAAGCCCCGGCUAACUCCGUGCCAGCAGCCGCGGUAAUACGGGGGGGGCGAGCGUUGUUCGGAAUUACUGGGCGUAAAGGGCGCGUAGGCGGUUCGCUAAGUUGGAUGUGAAAACUCUGGGCUCAACCCAGAGCCUGCAUCCAAAACUGGCGGGCUAGAGUUCUGGAGGGGGUAGCGGAAUUCCUGGUGUAGCGGUGAAAUGCGUAGAUAUCAGGAGGAACACCGGUGGCGAAGGCGGCUACCUGGACAGAAACUGACGCUGAGGCGCGAAAGCUAGGGGAGCAAACAGGAUUAGAUACCCUGGUAGUCCUAGCCCUAAACGAUGGAUACUUGGUGUGACUGGGAUUGAAUCCAGUCGUGCCGAAGCUAACGCAUUAAGUAUCCCGCCUGGGGAGUACGUCGCAAGGCUGAAACUCAAGGAAUUGACGGGGCCCGCACAAGCGGUGGAGUAUGUGGUUUAAUUCGACGCACGCGAAGAAUCUUUACCUGGGCUCGAACGGCUAGUGACAGGUGGCGAAAGUCGCUUC
Molecule: ribosomal RNA, 999 nt
Filed under: uncultured bacterium
Lineage: Bacteria
Description: bacterial SSU rRNA
Rfam family: Bacterial small subunit ribosomal RNA
Source: RNAcentral